This 88-nucleotide transfer RNA is filed under the name Paracoccaceae bacterium. Its description in RNAcentral is "tRNA-Ser". It matches the Rfam family "tRNA". From Rfam's summary of the family: Transfer RNA (tRNA) molecules are approximately 80 nucleotides in length. Their secondary structure includes four short double-helical elements and three loops (D, anti-codon, and T loops). RNAcentral also lists the same sequence under 1 other name. The record is from RNAcentral. Lineage: Bacteria; Pseudomonadati; Pseudomonadota; Alphaproteobacteria; Rhodobacterales; Paracoccaceae.
GGAAGGGUGGCAGAGUGGUCGAUUGCGGCGGUCUUGAAAACCGUUGAACCGCGAGGUUCCGUGGGUUCGAAUCCCACCCCUUCCGCCA